RNAcentral lists this ribosomal RNA (1406 nucleotides) under uncultured Bacilli bacterium. RNAcentral describes it as "bacterial SSU rRNA". It matches the Rfam family "Bacterial small subunit ribosomal RNA", at positions 27 to 1393 of the family's 1533-position model. Lineage: Bacteria; Bacillati; Bacillota; Bacilli. The record is from RNAcentral.
GGACGAACGCUGGCGGCGUGCCUAAUACAUGCAAGUCGAACGAGUCCUCCCAAUUUGAUUUUAUGCUUGCAUAAAUGAUUUUUGGAUUCGGGACGAGUGGCGAACUGGUGAGUAACACGUGGGUAACCUGCCCUAAAGCAGGGGAUAACAUUUGGAAACAGAUGCUAAUACCGUAUAAUUAGUUGGAACCACAUGGUUCCAACUUGAAAGAUGGUUCUGCUAUCACUUUAGGAUGGACCCGCGGCGUAUUAGCUAGUUGGUGAGAUAAAAGCUCACCAAGGCGAUGAUACGUAGCCGACCUGAGAGGGUAAUCGGCCACAUUGGGACUGAGACACGGCCCAGACUCCUACGGGAGGCAGCAGUAGGGAAUCUUCCACAAUGGACGCAAGUCUGAUGGAGCAACGCCGCGUGAGUGAAGAAGGGUUUCGGCUCGUAAAACUCUGUUGUUAAAGAAGAACAAGUGUAAGAGUAACUGUUUACGCUUUGACGGUAUUUAACCAGAAAGCCACGGCUAACUACGUGCCAGCAGCCGCGGUAAUACGUAGGUGGCAAGCGUUGUCCGGAUUUAUUGGGCGUAAAGCGAGCGCAGGUGGUCUUUUAAGUCUGUUGUGAAAGCCCUCAGCUCAACUGAGGAAGUGCAGCGGAAACUAGGAGGCUUGAGUACAGAAGAGGAUAGUGGAACUCCAUGUGUAGCGGUGAAAUGCGUAGAUAUAUGGAAGAACACCAGUGGCGAAGGCGGCUAUCUGGUCUGUUACUGACACUGAGGCUCGAAAGCAUGGGUAGCGAACAGGAUUAGAUACCCUGGUAGUCCAUGCCGUAAACGAUGAAUACUAGGUGUUGGAGGGUUCCGCCUUUCAGUGCCGCAGCUAACGCAUUAAGUAUUCCGCCUGGGGAGUACGACCGCAAGGUUGAAACUCAAAGGAAUUGACGGGGGCCCGCACAAGUGGUGGAGCAUGUGGUUUAAUUCGAUGCUACGCGAAGAACCUUACCAGGUCUUGACAUCUUCUGCCAACCUAAGAGAUUAGGCGUUCCCUUCGGGGACAGAAUGACAGGUGGUGCAUGGUUGUCGUCAGCUCGUGUCGUGAGAUGUUGGGUUAAGUCCCGCAACGAGCGCAACCCUUAUUAUUAGUUGCCAGCAUUAAGUUGGGCACUCUAGUGAGACUGCCGGUGAUAAACCGGAGGAAGGUGGGGAUGACGUCAAAUCAUCAUGCCCCUUAUGACCUGGGCUACACACGUGCUACAAUGGAUGGUACAACGAGUCGCGAAACCGCGAGGUCAAGCUAAUCUCUUAAAGCCAUUCUCAGUUCGGAUUGCAGGCUGCAACUCGCCUGCAUGAAGUUGGAAUCACUAGUAAUCGUGGAUCAGCAUGCCACGGUGAAUACGUUCCCGGGCCUUGUACACACCGC